CCUACGGGUGGCUGCAGUCGAGAAUCAUUCACGAUGGGGGAAACCCUGAUGGUGCGACGCCGCGUGGGGGAAUGAAGGUCUUCGGCUUGUACACCCCUGUCAUGUGGGAGCAAAUUAAAACGAUAGUACCACCAGAGGAAGAGACGGCUAACUCUGUGCCAGCAGCCGCGGUAAUACAGAGGUCUCAGGCGUGGUUCGGAAGCACGGGGCGUAAGGGGGGCGUAGGCGGUUUCGUAAGUCGUGUGGGAAAGGCGCGGGCGCAACCCGCGGACGGCCCAGGGUACUGCGAGACGAGAGUAAGGGAGGGGGAAGCGGGAGUCUCGGUGUAGGAGGGAGAUGCGUAG
This 344-nucleotide ribosomal RNA is filed under the name uncultured bacterium. Its description in RNAcentral is "partial 16S ribosomal RNA". It matches the Rfam family "Bacterial small subunit ribosomal RNA", at positions 338 to 693 of the family's 1533-position model. The record is from RNAcentral.